UCAUUUCUCUCUUUGCUUUCUCUCUCUUCACUUCUCCCUCUCAGACGUCUCUCUUCAGUCCCUCUUCUCUCAUCAACCCAGCUCACCGUAAAAACAGACCUAGCCCCGACCACCACCUCUAACCACCUUAGACCGCCGCAAAAACACCCAACUCUGGUUGAACUUCAACCGGAGGAUUCAUAUGUUGAUCCAAACCCCAGUGUUCUUCAACCCCACCUUCAACUUAUGGGUUCCUCAAAUGAACCCUAAGUCCAAAACACCAAGAACCCAAUGAACCCUGCCCAUAUUCAUAUGAACCCUAACCCUAAAUCAUGAACCCUAAACCUGAAUCACGAAUCCUAAACCUAAAUCAGAUUCAAACUUAAACAGUCCCCCUGAUUUUCAUAAAUCGGGAUCUGAUGCUAACGUACCCAAACCCUUACAAACAUCCACACGUCAUUUAAAACAAAGUCAAACACAUAGAUGCAAAAAAAAAAGCGAUUAAGUUAAAGAGAUCCACCAACCAACGGAAUUGAGGAGUAUUCCGAUUAUUAAAGGAAGCUGGGCUCGAGUGAAUUAGGGUUUCAAUGUGAACCCUAAACACCAAUGUUCUGCACUUUUUAGUGAGGAUUUCCAAUUUACAAUGGUAAAUAUGUUAUGGUUAUUUCUUAAUUUUUUCUCCCUCGAUUAUGAUUUAGACCAAGGUACUUAUAGAUUAGGAAUUAGGGCUUGGAUUUAAUUCUGAUUGUUUUUAGAAAAACUUGUAAUUUGAUUAUGAUUGUAAUUGAUUUAAUUAGAUUUUUAGGUUUUUUAGGUUUUCGGAUUGCACUGUGUACUUGGACUAAUUUCCCUUGUAAAUCCAAAUUUUUGAUGUAUCUAAAAUCUAAAUGGAAAGAUUUGAUUGUUUGUUUAUUCAA
Long non-coding RNA from Lathyrus oleraceus (garden pea), 896 nucleotides. RefSeq lists it as uncharacterized. The record is from RefSeq and is a predicted model, not a curated record. NCBI's taxonomy places the organism in Eukaryota, Viridiplantae, Streptophyta, Magnoliopsida, Fabales, Fabaceae. The transcript is spliced from 2 exons.